Molecule: non-coding RNA, 648 nt
Organism: Onthophagus taurus
Lineage: Eukaryota; Metazoa; Arthropoda; Insecta; Coleoptera; Scarabaeidae
Source: RefSeq, a predicted model, not a curated record
UCUAUUGUUUUUCACAAAACUGCUUUAUUAUUAUAGGAAUCUGUAAUUAAGUAACCUCUAAAUAUUUUGCGUUGAGAGGUUAUGUUGUGUUUUAAGGAAGAUUAUUUGGUUUAAUUUAACGUGAUAUGUGUUUAUUACACCAUAUUGUAAUUUUCACACAUUUUUCCUUGAUGUCUUCGGUUCUUAUGCGAUGUAGCAAAGUAAAACCAACAAUUGCUUUUCAUCUCUAUCAUUCUGAGAUUAUCAAACAAUUUUAAAAUCCAAUCCGAAGUACAGAUUUGUCCAAUUUUCGAUUGGUUCUAUGUAUUUCUAUAACAAACAAAGGUAUUUUAAAUGGUAUGAUUAAAUACAUACAUGGUGUUAGAUUUAUAUUUGUUGGGUCACAAUGUUUAUCGGUAUAUGAAGAGAAAUCGUUUGGAGACAACAAAUUUCGUUUUUAAUAAAUGUUGAAAAAUAUUGAUCUCAAGUACAACCAAUUUGAUACAUAGAUGAUAUAUGAAUUGACAUAUGAAUAUUAAAAAACUCUUAGAUGUUAAAUUUAACUCCAUAGUUCGCUGAAUUGGAAAUUACCUCAGAUUACUUGCUUAAAAUAAUUAUAUUUUGUUGCAUUGUGAACUAUAUUUUAAAUUAAAAACAAUUCAACAUUAA